CUCUCUCUCUGUCUGUCUCUCUCUCUCUCUGUCUCUCUCUCUGUCGCUCUCUCUGUGUCUCUCUCUCUCUCUCUUUCUCAGCUCUAAAGGCUGAGGAAACUGAGAUCACAACAAGCACAAGUCUGUUACCUGUUUUGGCAUGAGCAUGAACUAUGACUCAAGUCUCAUUCUACAAACAACUUCACUCAGCCCUUUAUUUUACUUCCUGGAGACUCAGUUUCUUCAUUAUGAAAGAGGAGCAAGGUUCUACUGUAUCUUCUGGAAGAAGUUGCCUGAACUUUUAUUAUUUUCUUCAAUCAAAACAAGUGAGACAAAGACCCUCCUGCUUCCCCCUUCUCUGCCACCCCUACCUUUUAUACCCACAUUAUAAAUUAUAUAUAUAAUUUAUUUUUUGGUGUAAUUUUGAUAUGAUAUGAGGGUUUUAAUUCUACCCUCCUAUGGUAGUACUAGGGAUGAAUUAAUGGACAAAAAUCUACUUUCCUUAAUCUGUGGACAUAUCAUUUGUCUGACAGCCUGUGGAGUUGCUAUGGAAAUUUUAUUGAAAUGUAAUUCUUGACUCAAUGACAUUUAUCAUUCUCCUCUCUUUGCUUAAUGGAAGCAUUCCACAUUUUAGCAUAGUGAUACAUCUGCAUGUGAACCUUGUGUUGGACACUAAAGGACCUUUUAAUUUCAAAACAUUUGUGUUUUCAUUUGCAAUUUUCAGUAUCUCUGACCAUUUCCUCUCCUUUUUUCUCUUUUACUUUCUAUUCUUUCAUUCCAGUAUGAACUGAGCAGCUACAUGGUCCCCAGUUUCUGAGGUAUGCAGACAGGCAUUCUUGAACUAUCCAGUGUAUGUCAUACAAGCAAACCUAAUCAAUAGCCCUGUAAUAUGUAGUCAUUCUAACAAUCUGAUCCCGAGAGCUCUGACUCUGUCAGAGCUAGGUAGUCACUAGGUAGCUAAUCACAACCAAAUAUUGAGAUCCAUAAGGCAGUAUUAGUAACACCAGCUUCAGUAACACUAAGAGCUAAUAAACUUUAGCUUGUAUUUCUCUACUAUUCUAGAACUUCUAUGACCAGCAGUGUUCAGUGUGCUUUGU
This is a long non-coding RNA of Mesocricetus auratus (golden hamster), 1076 nucleotides long. RefSeq lists it as uncharacterized. The transcript has 3 exons. The record is from RefSeq and is a predicted model, not a curated record. NCBI's taxonomy places the organism in Eukaryota, Metazoa, Chordata, Mammalia, Rodentia, Cricetidae.